GGAAUAGACCUCUACCGUUUUCCUUUGAUCGAUAUCAGGUACCAAAAUUCAUAAAUCCGACUAUCCGAGACACGGACAUGAUACUACAGUCAAAGAUAUCCAAUGAGCUUCUUCAUUUUAUUUUAUUUUAUCAAUAUCAAUUAUCAAUGCAUCGGACGAUUUCGGAUCACAAAAUCUAUCUACACGCAUACAACUCUCCAUUUUCUGUUUUAUGUCAAAGAUGACCCCCUCUUUUUUUUAAUUUUUUUUACUAUUAAUAAUUAUCGGACGGUUUCGGAUCACAAAUCCGCAUAGAACCCCCCGUUUUCUGUUUUACUCGGAGUUGUUUCUCUCCGUUUCUUCUGGUAAUGCAAAAUCAUAGAUCCUCAUAUUCGGGUUAGCAGUUUUAAAAAGUACUGUUAAAAAAAAGGAGAGGUCAAGUCUUUCCUUUCCUUUCCUUUCGAAGAUCCUGCUUUAUUCCAAUCUCCGAGUGCGAGGAAUAAUCACACACUCAUCAGACGUCUCAGCAUCAGUUCUUCCUCGUACAGACAGAAUAACAUAACACACAAAGGGCAAAGAGCUUCUUGUGGCUAAAAACUGCCCAAAGAACGUCCAAGUAUGAGUCUGGCAUGUCUUGUAUGCCAAAGUGUAGAAAGUCCAUCCCACUCUUUCAGGAGUUACUCUGUUUCAAGCUCAGAAAAUGAAGGAAGAUGUGCAGUGCUCGCAAACUGCUUGACCAGGAUAUCUCUUGCACACCCAGCAGCCAACACUUCCCUUGCUUCGUCGUCUAAGGUUACCCCACAACCAAGUAUUCCGAAUAAUGGAGUUGUGGGGCCCCCACGGCUAGUCCGGAGCCGUGCUGUUAGAAGAGAUAUAGUGCAGGACUGGAAUUUUGAUGAAGUCGCGGUGGAGCGGUAGUCUUGUAGAUUCAGGGUAGGAGAAGAGCUGGGGCUCAGCUCUUCUCUCUCACUCUUGCUGUCAGAAAGAAAGCUUAUGUUUUGGGGCUGUAGUUGGACUCUGUCCUAUAAUGUGAGGUUGAGCAUCUGUGAAACUUGUGGAGAGAUGAACUCUGUCUAUAUGUCUUUAAUUUGUGUACUCUUUGCCCUUGGAAUUCAUGUUGUGCUUGCCCCACUUGCAGUUAUAAUUUUGUCCAUUGAAUUAUGGUUAUGGGAACCUGAAUCUAGGUGGUCUACAGUGCUGCUAAUUUUCACCA
Long non-coding RNA from Rhododendron vialii, 1192 nucleotides. RefSeq lists it as uncharacterized. The record is from RefSeq and is a predicted model, not a curated record. NCBI's taxonomy places the organism in Eukaryota, Viridiplantae, Streptophyta, Magnoliopsida, Ericales, Ericaceae. The transcript is spliced from 2 exons.